Acanthaster planci (crown-of-thorns starfish) is the source of this 82-nucleotide non-coding RNA. The record is from the annotation of a RefSeq genome assembly. Lineage: Eukaryota; Metazoa; Echinodermata; Asteroidea; Valvatida; Acanthasteridae.
GUGUCGGUGGCCGAGUGGUUAAGGCGAUGGACUGUAGAUCCAUUGGGCAUUGCCCUCACGGGUUCGAAUCCUGUCCGAUACG